Molecule: ribosomal RNA, 165 nt
Filed under: Arctium lappa (great burdock)
Lineage: Eukaryota; Viridiplantae; Streptophyta; Magnoliopsida; Asterales; Asteraceae
Description: 5.8S ribosomal RNA
Rfam family: 5.8S ribosomal RNA
About the family: 5.8S ribosomal RNA (5.8S rRNA) is a component of the large subunit of the eukaryotic ribosome. It is transcribed by RNA polymerase I as part of the 45S precursor that also contains 18S and 28S rRNA.
Source: RNAcentral
AUAAACGACUCUCGGCAACGGAUAUCUCGGCUCACGCAUCGAUGAAGGACGUAGCAAAAUGCGAUACUUGGUGUGAAUUGCAGAAUCCCGUGAACCAUCGAGUUUUUGAACGCAAGUUGCGCCCGAAGCCAUUCGGCCGAGGGCACGUCUGCCUGGGCGUCACGC